UACGGAAGGCAGCAGGGGGGAAUAUUGCACAAUGGGCGCAAGCCUGAUGCAGCCAUGCCGCGUGUAUGAAAAAGGCCUUCGGGUUGUAAAGUACUUUCAGUCGUGAGGAAGGUGUUAAGGUUAAUAACCUUAGCAAUUGACGUUAGCGACAGAAGAAGCACCGGCUAACUCCGUGCCAGCAGCCGCGGUAAUACGGAGGGUGCGAGCGUUAAUCGGAAUUACUGGGCGUAAAGGGCACGCAGGCGGUUAAUUAAGUUGGAUGUGAAAUCCCCGGGCUUAACCUGGGAAUGGCAUUCAAGACUGGUUAGCUAGAGUCUUGUAGAGGGGGUAGAAUUCCAUGUGUAGCGGUGAAAUGCGUAGAGAUGUGGAGGAAUACCGGUGGCGAAAGGCGGCCCCCUGGACAAAGACUGACGCUCAUGUGCGAAAGCGUGGGGAGCAAACAGGGAUUAGAUACC
RNAcentral lists this ribosomal RNA (455 nucleotides) under uncultured bacterium. Its description in RNAcentral is "bacterial SSU rRNA". It matches the Rfam family "Bacterial small subunit ribosomal RNA", at positions 340 to 786 of the family's 1533-position model. The record is from RNAcentral.